This 92-nucleotide transfer RNA is filed under the name Pelolinea submarina. RNAcentral's name for it is "tRNA-Ser". It matches the Rfam family "tRNA". Rfam says of the family: Transfer RNA (tRNA) molecules are approximately 80 nucleotides in length. Their secondary structure includes four short double-helical elements and three loops (D, anti-codon, and T loops). The record is from RNAcentral. Lineage: Bacteria; Bacillati; Chloroflexota; Anaerolineae; Anaerolineales; Anaerolineaceae.
GGAGGGAUGGCCGAGUGGCUUAAGGCGCCUGUCUUGAAAACAGGUGUGGGGCGAAAGCUUCACCGUGGGUUCGAAUCCCUCUCCCUCCGCCU